This 440-nucleotide ribosomal RNA is filed under the name uncultured bacterium. RNAcentral's name for it is "partial 16S ribosomal RNA". It matches the Rfam family "Bacterial small subunit ribosomal RNA", at positions 339 to 795 of the family's 1533-position model. The record is from RNAcentral.
CUACGGGGUGCUGCAGUGAGGAAUAUUGCACAAUGGGGGGAACCCUGAUGCAGCAACGCCGCGUGGAGGAUGACGCAUUUCGGUGUGUAAACUCCUUUUAUAUGUCAAGAAAAUGACGGUAGCAUAUGAAUAAGCACCGGCUAACUCCGUGCCAGCAGCCGCGGUAAUACGGAGGGUGCAAGCGUUACUCGGAAUCACUGGGCGUAAAGGACGCGUAGGCGGGUUGGAAAGUCAGGUGUGAAAUCCUACAGCUUAACUGUAGAACUGCACUUGAAACUUCUAAUCUAGAGUAUGGGAGGGGGAGAUGGAAUUAGUGGUGUAGGGGUAAAAUCCGUAGAUAUCACUAGGAAUACCUAAAGCGAAGGCGAUCUCCUGGAACAUUACUGACGCUAAGGCGUGAAGGCGUGGGGAGCAAACAGGAUUAGAUACCCCGUGUAGUC